GGAUUAGAUACCCUGGUAGUCCACGCCGUAAACGAUGUGCACUAGAUCGGUGCGGCUCUGACGUCGUGCUGGUCGCAGAGAAAUUAUUAAGUGCACCGCCUGGGGAGUACGGUCGCAAGGCUAAAACUCAAAGGAAUUGACGGGGGCUCACACAAGCGGUGGAGCAUGUUGCUUAAUUCGAAACAACGCGAAGAACCUUACCAGGGUUUGACAUGCACGGAUUAACUCUAUGAAAGUAGAGCCACGCCUUCGGGUGGAACGUGCACAGGUGCUGCAUGGCUGUCGUCAGCUCGUGCUG
Molecule: ribosomal RNA, 298 nt
Filed under: uncultured bacterium
Lineage: Bacteria
Description: partial 16S ribosomal RNA
Rfam family: Bacterial small subunit ribosomal RNA
Source: RNAcentral